This 69-nucleotide transfer RNA is filed under the name Urocitellus parryii (Arctic ground squirrel). RNAcentral's name for it is "Spermophilus parryii (Arctic ground squirrel) tRNA". It matches the Rfam family "tRNA". Rfam says of the family: Transfer RNA (tRNA) molecules are approximately 80 nucleotides in length. RNAcentral also lists the same sequence under 1 other name. Lineage: Eukaryota; Metazoa; Chordata; Mammalia; Rodentia; Sciuridae. The record is from Rfam by way of RNAcentral.
GGGGCUGUAGCUCAGUGGUAGAGUGCUUGCCUAGCAUGCAUGAGGCACUGGGUUCAAUCCUCAGCACCA